UCCGUAGGUGAACCUGCGGUUGGAUCAUUAAAAAGAUCUAGCCCGAAGUGGGACUGAGAGAUCGGAUCGAGGUAUCCGCGACACUGUCGUGGGUGUUUCGCCGAUCACUCUAACCCAUGCCGGGUUUUCUCACCUCAAAAGUGAGUCAACAUUAUGUGAACUGUUCUGUCUCUGGCGGUGGGGUGGUGUCAAAACUACCUGUCAGCAUCCGGGUUCUCUCGGUGUGCCGUGGACAAGCCGUCAAUGGUGUAUGUUUCAUACAAACUUUUGUUUCAUCAAUCUGUCUGACAUACCUUUGUAUCUAAAAUAUACAAAAACAACUUUUGGCAACGGAUCUCUUGGCUCCCGCAACGAUGAAGAACGCAGUGAAAUGCGAUAUGUAGUGUGAAUUGCAGAAUUCAGUGAAUCAUCGAAUCUUUGAACGCACAUUGCGCUCCCUGGUAUUCCGGGGAGCAUGCUCGUUUCAGAAUCAUUAACAUUCUCAAAGGCACGGUCUGAACCCUCGGGCGACGCCGUUACCCUUUCGGAUGUGAGCCUCUUUGCUGCAAAGCAAUGGCUUGAAAAUGAUUGUGUUUGCAACCGGCCUUCUUGGUUCGGUUCUCUCAAGUGCAACAGAUGUUAGCUCAUUCGUUACCUCUCGAAGAGAAGCGAUUCCAUGGUCUGGAUCUUACACUCAACCAACAUACACUUUCAGUGAUCCUUGGAUCAUUGUCUGAUAACUUGGUCUGAAAUCGAGCAAGAAAACCCGCUGAACUUAAGCAUAUCAAUAAGCGGAGGAAAAGAAACUAACAAGGAUUCCCCUAGUAACGGCGAGUGAAGCGGGAACAGCUCAAAUUUGAAAUCUCACAAGGUCACUUGUGCGAAUUGUAGUUUAGAGAAACGUUUUCGGGGGCAACGUGGGUAUAAGUCCUUUGGAAAGAGGCAUCAUAGAGGGUGAGAAUCCCGUUUAUGAUCCACUGUUUGCUCCUAUGUGAUACGUUUUCCAAGAGUCAGGUAGUUUGGGAUUGCUGCCUAAAAUGGGUGGUAAAUACCAUCUAAAGCUAAAUAUUGGCGGGAGACCGAUAGCGAACAAGUACCGUGAGGGAAAGAUGAAAAGAACUUUGAAAAGAGAGUUAAACAGUACGUGAAAUUGCCAAAAGGGAAACGCUUGAAGU
This 1154-nucleotide small RNA is filed under the name uncultured fungus. RNAcentral describes it as "eukaryotic LSU rRNA". The stretch from base 722 to 1154 matches the Rfam family "Eukaryotic large subunit ribosomal RNA", at positions 1 to 429 of the family's 3401-position model. Lineage: Eukaryota; Fungi. The record is from RNAcentral.